ACUACAUGAAGCUGGAAUCGCUAGUAAUCGCGAAUCAGAAUGUCGCGGUGAAUACGUUCCCGGGUCUUGUACACACCGCCCGUCACACCAUGGGAGCCGGAAAUGCCCGAAGCCAGUGACCCAACCUUAGGGAGGGAGCUGUCGAAGGUGGAGCCGGUAACUGGGGUGAAGUCGUAACAAGGUAUC
RNAcentral lists this ribosomal RNA (186 nucleotides) under uncultured bacterium. RNAcentral's name for it is "partial 16S ribosomal RNA". It matches the Rfam family "Bacterial small subunit ribosomal RNA", at positions 1315 to 1500 of the family's 1533-position model. The record is from RNAcentral.